GUCCCGAAGGCUCUACCCCGGAGUCGUCCAGACCACUGGGGUCACGGGACGUCCCGGUGUCCUCGGCUCUCCGUCUGGAAAGGGGUUUCGGAGGCGCCCAGUGUUGUGGUGCGGGUUGGACAGCCAGCGACUCACGCACUAGCCCCACGCUGAGCCCGGGAUCCGGGGCCGCGGCUUCUGAGCCCAGAUCGACCGCCCGAGUGGGGACUGGAGACCCUGGCCCCGCUCCGCCCCCUCGGACCCCACUUCUCCCAGGACCCAGCCCGGAGCCCCGCGGAAGCACCACACCCGCGUGAAGAGGCUGGAACGCCCCCCGGAGAGGCUCCAGGAGGAGAUCCUGCUUAGCCCUUGGCAAAGUCCCUGCUGAUAUUUUUUACUCAAAACUAAACUUUAUUCUUAAUCUAAUUGCGAAAGUAAUCCAAGCUCACUGCAGAAACUGCAGACCUUACAGGAAAGCACAAGGCAAAGGAAAACUAGAAAUCCUGCGACCCCGGCAUCCUGGUUCUGCAGAAGCCCGAAGAGUCAAACAUCGUACUCAUUUUCCCAGUCUUUUUGCAACGCAGAAAUCUUGCCAUCACAGAGUGUGGGAUCCCAGCUGACAACCAGAGAAUGAUGUGGAGGAAAUUUGAUAUUCCUAGUUACAUGUGCAGUUUACAAGUCCCUCAGGGCACCCCGGGACUCCCAGAUGCUGCCUCACUUCUCACUUCACCAAGACAAGUGAAGAAGCCAGAGAACUUCCAAGCUCCACCCGCCACCACCCACGCUCUGCCUCCGCGCCCAUCUGUUACCCGCAGGCUCCUCUCUGGCUGAGCAGCCG
Long non-coding RNA from Bos taurus (domestic cattle), 817 nucleotides. The record is from Ensembl. Lineage: Eukaryota; Metazoa; Chordata; Mammalia; Artiodactyla; Bovidae.